AGAAUCAACGCUGGCGGCGUGCCUAACACAUGCAAGUCGCACGAGAAAGGGGAGCAAUCCCUGAGUAAAGUGGCGCACGGGUGAGUAACACGUGAAUAAUCUACCUCCGAGUGGGGGAAUAACUGAGAGAAAUCUUAGCUAAUACCGCAUAACACUUACGAGUCAAAGCAGCAAUGCGCUUGGAGAGGAGUUCGCGGCCGAUUAGUUAGUUGGCGGGGUAAUGGCCCACAAGACGAUGAUCGGUA
RNAcentral lists this ribosomal RNA (245 nucleotides) under uncultured bacterium. Its description in RNAcentral is "partial small subunit ribosomal RNA". It matches the Rfam family "Bacterial small subunit ribosomal RNA", at positions 26 to 285 of the family's 1533-position model. The record is from RNAcentral.